UGCUGGAGGUAUCAGAAGUGCGAAUGCUGACAUAAGUAACGAUAAAGCGGGUGAAAAGCCCGCUCGCCGGAAGACCAAGGGUUCCUGUCCAACGUUAAUCGGGGCAGGGUGAGUCGACCCCUAAGGCGAGGCCGAAAGGCGUAGUCGAUGGGAAACGGGUUAAUAUUCCCGUACUUGGUGUUACUGCGAAGGGGGGACGGAGAAGGCUAUGUUGGCCGGGCGACGGUUGUCCCGGUUUAAGCGUGUAGGUGUGUGUUCCAGGUAAAUCCGGUUCACUUUAACACUGAGGCGUGAUGACGAGGCACUACGGUGCUGAAGCAACAAAUGCCCUGCUUCCAGGAAAAGCCUCUAAGCAUCAGGUAACAUCAAAUCGUACCCCAAACCGACACAGGUGGUCAGGUAGAGAAUACCAAGGCGCUUGAGAGAACUCGGGUGAAGGAACUAGGCAAAAUGGUGCCGUAACUUCGGGAGAAGGCACGCUGACAUGUAGGUGAAGUGAUUUACUCACGGAGCUGAAGUCAGUCGAAGAUACCAGCUGGCUGCAACUGUUUAUUAAAAACACAGCACUGUGCAAACACGAAAGUGGACGUAUACGGUGUGACGCCUGCCCGGUGCCGGAAGGUUAAUUGAUGGGGUCAGCGCAAGCGAAGCUCCUGAUCGAAGCCCCGGUAAACGGCGGCCGUAACUAUAACGGUCCUAAGGUAGCGAAAUUCCUUGUCGGGUAAGUUCCGACCUGCACGAAUGGCGUAAUGAUGGCCAGGCUGUCUCCACCCGAGACUCAGUGAAAUUGAACUCGCUGUGAAGAUGCAGUGUACCCGCGGCAAGACGGAAAGACCCCGUGAACCUUUACUAUAGCUUGACACUGAACAUUGAGCCUUGAUGUGUAGGAUAGGUGGGAGGCUUUGAAGUGUGGACGCCAGUCUGCAUGGAGCCGACCUUGAAAUACCACCCUUUAAUGUUUGAUGUUCUAACGUGGACCCGUUACCCGGGUUGCGGACAGUGUCUGGUGGGUAGUUUGACUGGGGCGGUCUCCUCCUAAAGAGUAACGGAGGAGCACGAAGGUUGGCUAAUCCUGGUCGGACAUCAGGAGGUUAGUGCAAUGGCAUAAGCCAGCUUGACUGCGAGCGUGACGGCGCGAGCAGGUGCGAAAGCAGGUCAUAGUGAUCCGGUGGUUCUGAAUGGAAGGGCCAUCGCUCAACGGAUAAAAGGUACUCCGGGGAUAACAGGCUGAUACCGCCCAAGAGUUCAUAUCGACGGCGGUGUUUGGCACCUCGAUGUCGGCUCAUCACAUCCUGGGGCUGAAGUAGGUCCCAAGGGUAUGGCUGUUCGCCAUUUAAAGUGGUACGCGAGCUGGGUUUAGAACGUCGUGAGACAGUUCGGUCCCUAUCUGCCGUGGGCGCUGGAGAACUGAGGGGGGCUGCUCCUAGUACGAGAGGACCGGAGUGGACGCAUCACUGGUGUUCGGGUUGUCAUGCCAAUGGCACUGCCCGGUAGCUAAAUGCGGAAGAGAUAAGUGCUGAAAGCAUCUAAGCACGAAACUUGCCCCGAGAUGAGUUCUCCCUGAGACUUAGAGUCUCCUGAAGGAACGUUGAAGACGACGACGUUGAUAGGCCGGGUGUGUAAGCGCAGCGAUGCGUUGAGCUAACCGGUACUAAUGAACCGUGAGGCUUAACCUU
This 1676-nucleotide ribosomal RNA is filed under the name Salmonella enterica. RNAcentral's name for it is "bacterial LSU rRNA". It matches the Rfam family "Bacterial large subunit ribosomal RNA", at positions 1271 to 2925 of the family's 2925-position model. The record is from RNAcentral. Lineage: Bacteria; Pseudomonadati; Pseudomonadota; Gammaproteobacteria; Enterobacterales; Enterobacteriaceae.